Long non-coding RNA from Tripterygium wilfordii, 965 nucleotides. RefSeq lists it as uncharacterized. The transcript is spliced from 2 exons. Lineage: Eukaryota; Viridiplantae; Streptophyta; Magnoliopsida; Celastrales; Celastraceae. The record is from RefSeq and is a predicted model, not a curated record.
AAUAUAGCUAUAGAGAGAAACACACUAAUACAGUAAUACUCCUCUCUCUCUCUCUCUCUCUCCUCCCUCUCUCUCUCUCUCAAUAGUGCAUGGGUGAUACUCUUUUGGCGUGACAAUAUUAAAUUUUUGUAUCACCUUUGGUUUGGACCACUUUUCUUUUCUUUUUAUUUGUUCAAUUUUUAAAUAUUAAAUUUUUUGUGAAUUCCCUUUCAACCCUUGUUUGCUCUUCUAUAUAUACUGCCCUUUAUUUCUCUAUGUGGAGAAGAAGAAGAAGCACCAAAGCAGUUCAAUGAAACAGGGCCUUCUCUCUUCUUUAUUAUUAUUAUUAUUAUUUCUAGGGUUUAUAGUAUGUUCUCUCAUCGUGCACCAGCAUCGGUUGAAGCUGCCAGCAUGAUCUUAACCUUCCUCUUCUUUAUAUUGGGGAAUGAUCAGAUCAUGUGGCAGUUUCACCUGUUGUUGUUGUCACGAAACCCUAAUUUUUUUUGAGCCCUGAAUUCCCUUUUGAUUGAUUAGGGUUUUCCAUUGUGCAAUCCCAAUAGAAGGUACGUGAAUCUACUUUUCCAAGAUCUGGGUUUGUUUUGGGUUUUUUUUUCUUCUUCCCUUUUUUAUGUUUGAAAUGUGUACGGAUGUAUAUUGUGUGGGUAUGGUUGUUUGUGCUUUUUUAUUGUACAAAUGCACUAUUUAUGUGAAAUAAACCUUUGUGGUUUUGUUAGGGUUUUGAGUGGCAGGGAUUUUGUGUCUCGGUGGAGAUCAACAAUUUCAAGAGUCCUUCAGGUGCUUUGGGAUUUUGACAUGUCAUCCUAUCAAUGGAUAGUGAUCAUCAAAGUCAUUAUAGAUGGAGCUGCUUUUGGUUGUGUAUGUUGAAUUGGUAGCCUUUUUCAGUGUAUUGGAUUUAGUCUUUUGAAAGCUAUAUAUGUAUGCGUCUCUUUUCAAGGAGUAGAUCUUUAAUCAGAGAUCUUUAUUUC